AUCGCCACCGCAAAAUGAUAGCAUUCCAAAAUUUAUUGGCAUAAGUGGGACAAGAAGUCACAGGAAGCAUUAUUCAGCGAGACUUGGGUCGGUACAGCUUGAAACUUCCAACGUGCCUAUAAUUUAACAACAGUAUCUUUUGCUUCUCUUAAAUCUAUCUGCUUCUGCUUCUGCCUCUGCCUCUUCUGAUUAUCCUUUUUUUUCUCGUUUUUGUUUUUGUUCCUUUUCUUGUUGCCAACCCAUUUCCACUCUGUAAAAGUAUAGCAGAAAUCUAUCGGUAUGGUUGAAUGAUCUUAUGUUGAUACCCACAAAAAAAACAAAAAAAAAAACAAUAUGAUCUUAUGUUGAUACCCACAAAAAAAACUUGAAUGAUCUUAUGUUGAUACCCACAAAAAAAACAAAAAAAAAAACAAUAAUUAUGUUUUCUGGAAGCAUUUUUAAUGUUUCAUGAUUGAUCCCAGUAUGGAGAUACGAGCUUUGCAAAAUAAUAGCCAUGUGAGUUUCAGGUGUGCAGGGAAUGGGAAGCCAAAACCUUUUCAACAAUCAUUCUUUCUUCUGUUUUGAUCUUUUCUCAGUCUUUUUCCCAUUAUAAAGCUCUUUCUUUUACAUUAUCUUCUCGUCGCCUUCAGUAACUUGAGUCCUCUACAUAUAUAUUUACUUUGUCAAAAGUGCUUUCAGCAGCUCGUUUUGCUCAAAAACCCAACCCUAAAACAAAGAAUUGAAUCAUCUACCGGUCUCAGCUUCAAUUAUCAGGUACUAUAUAUUCUUUCUUCUUAUUAUCUGCAAAACAAUUUUCUUCUUGCGUUAGCUAUAUGGGAAGUCAUGUACAUAAAUGGUCGCAUAACAUAAAAGUUGUAAAUUUAGGGCUAGGGUCAGGCCUCCCGCCUCCGCCUUCACAUGUACAUGUCUACAUGAAUGAGGUUAAGAGAGCUUUUGCGUUUAGAGUGAAGGCUGAAGUUUACAACUCGUUUUGAUGGUUCAUUUUUUUUAAAAAAAAAUUCUCAUUAAAUUCUUCUAUUGAUAAGUUUUUUGUAUUCAAUUUUCUAUCACCAUCAUCAUCACAGCAGCAUUAGCUGUUACGGGCAGCUGUCUGUAUUUAAUCUGCUAGCUACCUAGAAAUUUGUUAGCUUCAGAACUCUUUUUACUGUUUUCUCCGUGCACAGAAGACAUUCUCAGUCCUCCGAAUUUGUGCCCAUUUGAGUGACCAAAUUGCCCUUAAAAAAUAUGAGGUGCUCUGAGUUUCUACUUUCUAACUAGCCACCAAUCCUUUACUGACAGAAUCUAGUGGUGUAAAUCACAAUGGAUUGACCCAAACACCCUUCACAGUGCUUGCAUAUUUCAUUUUCAUUUUCGAAAACAAUCGGUCCGCCGGUUCUCUUGUCCAGUUCAUCAUCAACACUGUGCCGCAUCAUUUAUAUAGAAAAUUUACAAAACUGAUUAAUCAGGAAAAAUGUGAAUGCCUAUUUGUUUUAAUUUCGUGUUAAUGGCUAUUGCAGAGAAAUGGAUCAAUCAGAAAAAUCACCCAAGCAAUCAUCUAAGGCGUGCGAGUCACCUUUGUCGAG
Molecule: long non-coding RNA, 1562 nt
Filed under: Citrus sinensis (sweet orange)
Lineage: Eukaryota; Viridiplantae; Streptophyta; Magnoliopsida; Sapindales; Rutaceae
Description: long non-coding RNA (CSIN_LNC003658)
Source: RNAcentral